GCGCUUGUAGCUCAGUUGGACAGAGCGUAGCCCUGCGAAGGCUAAGGUUGCGGGUUCGAGCCCCGCCAAGCGCACCA
RNAcentral lists this transfer RNA (77 nucleotides) under Dehalococcoidia bacterium. RNAcentral describes it as "tRNA-Arg". It matches the Rfam family "tRNA". From Rfam's summary of the family: Transfer RNA (tRNA) molecules are approximately 80 nucleotides in length. Their secondary structure includes four short double-helical elements and three loops (D, anti-codon, and T loops). The record is from RNAcentral. Lineage: Bacteria; Bacillati; Chloroflexota; Dehalococcoidia.